Molecule: ribosomal RNA, 253 nt
Filed under: uncultured bacterium
Lineage: Bacteria
Description: partial 16S ribosomal RNA
Rfam family: Bacterial small subunit ribosomal RNA
Source: RNAcentral
UACGAAGGGGGCUAGCGUUGCUCGGAUUUACUGGGCGUAAAGGGCGCGUAGGCGGAUAGUACAGUCAGGCGUGAAAUUCCUGGGCUCAACCUGGGGGCUGCGUUUGAUACGUAUUGUCUGGAGUUCGGAAGAGGGUCGUGGAAUUCCCAGUGUAGAGGUGAAAUUCGUAGAUAUUGGGAAGAACACCGGUGGCGAAGGCGGCGACCUGGUCCGAUACUGACGCUGAGGCGCGAAAGCGUGGGGAGCAAACAGG